This 465-nucleotide ribosomal RNA is filed under the name uncultured bacterium. Its description in RNAcentral is "partial 16S ribosomal RNA". It matches the Rfam family "Bacterial small subunit ribosomal RNA", at positions 28 to 507 of the family's 1533-position model. The record is from RNAcentral.
GACGAACGCUGGCGGCGUGCUUAACACAUGCAAGUCGAACGGAAAGGCCCUGCUUGCAGGGUACUCGAGUGGCGAACGGGUGAGUAACACGUGGGUGUUCUGCCCUGCACUUCGGGAUAAGCCUGGGAAACUGGGUCUAAUACCGGAUAGGAGCCAUUUUUAGUGUGAUGGUUGGAAAGUUUUUUCGGUGUAGGAUGAGCUCGCGGCCUAUCAGCUUGUUGGUGGGGUAAUGGCCUACCAAGGCGGCGACGGGUAGCCGGCCUGAGAGGGUGGACGGCCACAUUGGGACUGAGAUACGGCCCAGACUCCUACGGGAGGCAGCAGGGGGGAAGAUUGCACAAGGGGCGCAAGCCUGAUGCAGCGACGCCGCGUGGGGGAUGACGGCCUUCGGGUUGUAAACUCCUUUCGCUAGGGACGAAGCUUUUUGUGACGGUACCUAGAUAAGAAGCACCGGCUAACUACGUG